AAGGGAGAAAGAUAUCCCGGGAGAGUGCUAAUUUUUCUGGGCCAUGGUUAAACUCCAUGGGUCCCUUG
This 68-nucleotide transfer RNA is filed under the name Echidna rhodochilus. Its description in RNAcentral is "tRNA-Ser". The record is from RNAcentral. Lineage: Eukaryota; Metazoa; Chordata; Actinopteri; Anguilliformes; Muraenidae.